Spodoptera litura is the source of this 1825-nucleotide long non-coding RNA. RefSeq lists it as uncharacterized. The record is from RefSeq and is a predicted model, not a curated record. NCBI's taxonomy places the organism in Eukaryota, Metazoa, Arthropoda, Insecta, Lepidoptera, Noctuidae.
CCUAACCGUCACGAAAACUCUGACCCCGUGUCUCUGAUUUUCAUCUUGCUGCUGCCUGAUACGUGGAAUCAUAUUUCUGAAUAAUUUAUCCAGCAGACUUCGUCACCUGCACUAGAGACUAGAAAACAAAGAUGUUUAACGGAAACACGUCCAUCAAACAUAUCAGCAAGUUAACAAUGGAAUCUUCCCACGUGUUGCUGCUAUUCUACCGAACUGAACCUUCACCAGUUAUUAGUAUAGUUCGUACUGGCAGAUGAAACGAAAUGUUAUUUGAUUUUCAUCAAAAUGGAUAUUCAUCAUGGAAUAAAGAUCGAAGGUAUAAUCGUCUACCCCCGAAAAACCAGUAAGUGAAAUAAGUCCAAAAAUCAAACUUUAUAAUUGUUUUUGGCAUUAAUCAAGAAAAAGGUGCAGAAGAAGAAGAAGAAUGCAGAAUGACCUGGGUCAUAGGAAGCAAUACUAGAGAAAUAUCCUCCAAUUUUCGACAGACAAGCAGUCUACCCGCAACUAUAACAUUUAUGAUUUCUCAAUAUAAAAUGGAUAAAGCCGAGCCAACCUGAUUGUGAAUGAGAUCCGACAGGCUGGGUGCAAAAUUCCUGUUGUGUGGUCCUCUCAUCAAAACAUCAUAUAGUAAGGAACCAACAUCUAAUUCACAACAGUACUUCACUCCGGCUCCGGCUAUCCAGUCAUAAGAAUAAUCACUUGUUCUCUUCGAUACAAUUGGAUGCAAAACGGACGAGUCUGCUUGGUCACGUAAUGAAGAAACUAUUGAACCAAGACUUGCUGAAAAAUGGCCGGUAACACAUCAUCCGAGGAUCCCGUAUGUAUGAAACAACUGCUGGUUGAGUUGAGGACAUCACAGUAUAUCUACUACAAGUAAGCCUCACCAAAUUGGGAAAGUUGGUACUAAGCAUUGAGGGCUCGUCUUAAUUCUGUAAACACUGGUUUAAUGUAAUAUUUAAAUGACCCCUUCGGUCACUGGAUCGAGGGGGUCAUAAGCGGUACAUUCGCUGCUUUGUCAUUCGAUGAUGUCAGGCACAAGAAAUAGAGCCUUAUCUCAAGCUACACCUUAAAGUUUUUUGUAUACGAGUUCAUAAGCGUAUGUAGGAUAUUUCUUGUAAUAUCUUUUAUAAAUCAGUGAUAGGAGAGUAUUGUUCAUUGACACCGUGUUUCUCAAACAUAUUUUACCUAAUGCGAAAAUAUUUUUUGUUUUGACAUAAUCCAUAUUGGACUCGAAUCCUUAGGUUGCAAUCAGUUGCCCAGUAUCAUUAACGAUGUCAUUUCGCCGCUUCUAUUCGUAUUAACCGUUCUGCAAAGUAUAUUUUUUAUAUAAAAAUUAUUAUCAUUAUUUGUUAAGCCAGUAUGUAAGAUAUUGCGAAUAAUAUUUAUUUUGCAUAAACCAGUGACAGAGGGGUAUUGUUCAUUGACACCGUGCUUCUAAAAAACAUAUUUUAGCUAAUCUGAUUCUUUUGCUACUUGCAUCCAUUGGCUCCCUACGACUCUGGCGAUGUCUUCAGUCUACCUAGCAGAUGACUUUCUCAGCUUCUGAUUCAGAGUCGAUACUCCAGUACUUACCUUGCCCGACGGUCGUCAUUUCUUCGAGCGUUGUGGCCUCCCCAUCCCGUCAUCCUGCAAAUUUUGCGAGCUAUGUAGGAUAUUGCUUGAAAUAAUUGACUAUUAUGUGGUAUUACAGUUGUUGACAUUGGUUGUCUCGAUAUUUUAUUAGGUAACUGUAAACCUCAGCAAUAACUAAAAAUGACAAUGUUAUAUGUAACUGUAAAUGGUAAUAUUUAGAAAACUACAUCAAUCAUGAUCAUUUAAUUUUUAU